CCGCCCGAGGACCGCUCGCACCGGACCGAGGGAGGGAGCCCCGGCAGGCAGGAUGCCUCUGGUGAAAUGGCCAAGUCGACCGCGCGACCCACAACCCGCCCGACUAGGGGCGAGAAGGCGCACGGAGGAGGACUCCGUCCCCUAGUCGGCAGACGGCCCUGGGACAGGGCCGUUCGCCAAAACCUCCCCAAGGCCGCUUUCCGUGACCGAGUCGGCCUCCCCACCUGUACUCGUCCCGGCCCGAGAAACGAGACGCGGGGUGGAUCGGGACCAGGCCACGCACCAGGCCGGCUGGCACUGCAUCCUCCCUCCCCCGACCUGACCUGACCUGACCUGGACGAACGCCUCCCCAUCGCCCACCCCCGCGAGGCUGAUCCGUCCGGCCGGUGAGGAGGCCGCUUGUCGGGCGCCACCUGCUGCCCGGCAUCCUCUUAUAUAGUGUUCGAGGAGGUCGACCAGGUCUUAGGGCUGUCGUGCUCCGCAGCCGUCCCGUGUCGUGGAUCCUGGGCACCACCACGCCACCGCCCCCCCCGCCAUAGCUGUCGAUCGCUAUGUGGCACGCCUACGUUUGCCCAAAAGAGCAGUCCGAUGGACAGCGUGGUGCUUUUCCCAGCAGGCAGGCAGGAGACAAAACUCCCCUGCCAAAGGGGCCCUCCCGAAACAACGGGGAGUGAGGAAGACCUCUUUCUCUUCACGGCUGAAGUUCUCCCUGCCUUUCCUGGAUGGGAAGGAUAGCACCUACGCCCGCUGCCGUCGGCGACUUUUAGUCCCCCUGGAGAGGAAGAAAUUCUUUCCCGUGGCCGAACCCUGGCGGUUCGUUCGUGCUGCAGAGGACGUGGCCCUCUCUGACACACCCAGGAACCUCCUCGCUCCGGGUCGAGGAGAGGGAGUUCUGUUCUGUGGUUUAGAAUGGUGCUUAAAAAGGGACAUCGCUUACAAAGGGUCCUCGUCCCCCUUCCUAAGCGGACGGCUCGGCUCGGAGGCGUGAGAUACGUUUCACAUCCUCCUCGUCGUCUUCACUCAAAGUUUUAUUGGAGUUUUGAAGAUUU
Long non-coding RNA from Equus quagga, 1049 nucleotides. RefSeq lists it as uncharacterized. The transcript is spliced from 3 exons. The record is from RefSeq and is a predicted model, not a curated record. Lineage: Eukaryota; Metazoa; Chordata; Mammalia; Perissodactyla; Equidae.